This 432-nucleotide ribosomal RNA is filed under the name uncultured bacterium. RNAcentral describes it as "partial 16S ribosomal RNA". It matches the Rfam family "Bacterial small subunit ribosomal RNA", at positions 29 to 507 of the family's 1533-position model. The record is from RNAcentral.
ACGCACGCUGGCGGCAGGCCUCACACAUGCAAGUCGAGCGGACCUUUCGGGGUCAGCGGCGGACGGGUGAGUAACGCGUGGGAAUAUGCCCUUCUCUACGGAAUAGUCCUGGGAAACUGGGGGUAAUACCGUAUACGCCCUUUGGGGGAAAGAUUUAUCGGGGAAGGAUUAGCCCGCGUUGGAUUAGGUAGUUGGUGGGGUAAUGGCCUACCAAGCCGACGAUCCAUAGCUGGUUUGAGAGGAUGAUCAGCCACACUGGGACUGAGACACGGCCCAGACUCCUACGGGAGGCAGCAGUGGGGAAUCUUAGACAAUGGGGGCAACCCUGAUCUAGCCAUGCCGCGUGAGUGAUGAAGGCCUUAGGGUUGUAAAGCUCUUUCAGCUGGGAAGAUAAUGACGGUACCAGCAGAAGAAGCCCCGGCUAACUCCGUG